RNAcentral lists this ribosomal RNA (462 nucleotides) under uncultured bacterium. Its description in RNAcentral is "partial 16S ribosomal RNA". It matches the Rfam family "Bacterial small subunit ribosomal RNA", at positions 28 to 507 of the family's 1533-position model. The record is from RNAcentral.
GACGAACGCUGGCGGCGUGCUUAACACAUGCAAGUCGAACGGAAAGGCCCUUCGGGGUACUCGAGUGGCGAACGGGUGAGUAACACGUGGGUGAUCUGCCCUGCACUUUGGGAUAAGCCUGGGAAACUGGGUCUAAUACCGGAUAGGACCACGGCAUUCAUGUGCUGUGGUGGAAAGCUUUUGCGGUGUGGGAUGGGCCCGCGGCCUAUCAGCUUGUUGGUGGGGUAAUGGCCUACCAAGGCGACGACGGGUAGCCGGCCUGAGAGGGUGACCGGCCACAAUGGGACUGAGGUACGGCCCAGACUCCUACCGGGGGGAAGCGGUGGGAAUUUUUGCAAAAGGGCGCCAGCCUGAUGCAGCGACGCCGCGUGAGGGAUGACGGCCUUCGGGUUGUAAACCUCUUUCGCCAGGGACGAAGCGCAAGUGACGGUACCUGGAGAAGAAGGACCGGCCAACUACGUG